RNAcentral lists this ribosomal RNA (253 nucleotides) under uncultured bacterium. RNAcentral describes it as "partial 16S ribosomal RNA". It matches the Rfam family "Bacterial small subunit ribosomal RNA", at positions 524 to 776 of the family's 1533-position model. The record is from RNAcentral.
UACGGGGGGGGCAAGCGUUGUUCGGAAUUACUGGGCGUAAAGGGCUCGUAGGCGGCCAACUAAGUCAGACGUGAAAUCCCUCGGCUUAACCGGGGAACUGCGUCUGAUACUGGAUGGCUUGAGUUUGGGAGAGGGAUGCGGAAUUCCAGGUGUAGCGGUGAAAUGCGUAGAGAUCUGGAGGAACACCGGUGGCGAAGGCGGCAUCCUGGACAAACCCUGACGCUGAGGAGCGAAAGCCAGGGGAGCAAACGGG